UAGCAUAUCAAUAAGCGGAGGAAAAGAAACCAACAGGGAUUGCUCUAGUAACGGCGAGUGAAGCAGCAAUAGCUCAAAUUUGAAAUCUGGCGUCUUCGACGUCCGAGUUGUAAUUUGUAGAGGAUGCUUCUGAGUAACCACCGACCUAAGUUCCUUGGAACAGGACGUCAUAGAGGGUGAGAAUCCCGUAUGCGGUCGGAAAGGUGCUCUAUACGUAGCUCCUUCGACGAGUCGAGUUGUUUGGGAAUGCAGCUCUAAAUGGGAGGUAAAUUUCUUCUAAAGCUAAAUAUUGGCCAGAGACCGAUAGCGCACAAGUAGAGUGAUCGAAAGAUGAAAAGCACUUUGGAAAGAGAGUUAAAAAGCACGUGAAAUUGUUAAAAGGGAAGGGAUUGCAACCAGACUUGCUCGCGGUGUUCCGCCGGUCUUCUGACCGGUCUACUCGCCGCGUUGCAGGCCAGCAUCGUCUGGUGCCGCUGGACAAGACUUGAGGAAUGUAGCUCCCUCGGGAGUGUUAUAGCCUCUUGUGAUGCAGCGAGCGCCGGGCGAGGUCCGCGCUUCGGCUAGGAUGCUGGCGUAAUGGUCGUAAUCCGCCCGUCUUGAAACACGGACCAAGGAGUCUAACAUCUAUGCGAGUGUUCGGGUGUCAAACCCCUACGCGUAAUGAAAGUGAACGGAGGUGAGAACCGCAAGGUGCAUCAUCGACCGAUCCUGAUGUCUUCGGAUGGAUUUGAGUAAGAGCAUAGCUGUUGGGACCCGAAAGAUGGUGAACUAUGCCUGAAUAGGGUGAAGCCAGAGGAAACUCUGGUGGAGGCUCGCAGCGGUUCUGACGUGCAAAUCGAUCGUCAAAUUUGGGUAUAGGGGCGAAAGACUAAUCGAACCAUCUAGUAGCUGGUUCCUGCG
Molecule: ribosomal RNA, 900 nt
Filed under: Cladosporium phyllophilum
Lineage: Eukaryota; Fungi; Ascomycota; Dothideomycetes; Cladosporiales; Cladosporiaceae
Description: LSU rRNA
Rfam family: Eukaryotic large subunit ribosomal RNA
Source: RNAcentral